GGGCCCGCACAAGCGGUGGAGCAUGUGGUUUAAUUCGAUGCAACGCGAAGAACCUUACCUACUCUUGACAUCCAGAGAACUUAGCAGAGAUGCUUUGGUGCCUUCGGGAACUCUGAGACAGGUGCUGCAUGGCUGUCGUCAGCUCGUGUUGUGAAAUGUUGGGUUAAGUCCCGCAACGAGCGCAACCCUUAUCCUUUGUUGCCAGCGAUUCGGUCGGGAACUCAAAGGAGACUGCCGGUGAUAAACCGGAGGAAGGUGGGGAUGACGUCAAGUCAUCAUGGCCCUUACGAGUAGGGCUGCACACGUGCUACAAUGGCGUAUACAAAGAGAAGCGACCUCGCGAGAGCAAGCGGAACUCAUAAAGUACGUCGUAGUCCGGAUUGGAGUCUGCAACUCGACUCCAUGAAGUCGGAAUCGCUAGUAAUCGUAGAUCAGAAUGCUACGGUGAAUACGUUCCCGGGCCUUGUACACACCGCCCGUCACACCAUGGGAGUGGGUUGCAAAAGAAGUAGGUAGCUUAACCUUCGGGAGGGCGCUUACCACUUUGUGAUUCAUGACUGGGGUGAAGUCGUAA
RNAcentral lists this ribosomal RNA (574 nucleotides) under uncultured bacterium. RNAcentral's name for it is "bacterial SSU rRNA". It matches the Rfam family "Bacterial small subunit ribosomal RNA", at positions 917 to 1491 of the family's 1533-position model. The record is from RNAcentral.